UUGUUUGCUGUGGAAAAUUCACAAAUAUUUAUAAUUCAUAAUGAUCCUUCCGCAGGUUCACCUACGGAAGGGGGUCAUUAU
Molecule: ribosomal RNA, 81 nt
Filed under: Geotrichum candidum
Lineage: Eukaryota; Fungi; Ascomycota; Dipodascomycetes; Dipodascales; Dipodascaceae
Description: partial 18S ribosomal RNA
Source: RNAcentral